Molecule: long non-coding RNA, 641 nt
Organism: Panthera uncia (snow leopard)
Lineage: Eukaryota; Metazoa; Chordata; Mammalia; Carnivora; Felidae
Exons: 3
Source: RefSeq, a predicted model, not a curated record
CCCACCACCGCGGGGGCGCUGCUGGGCUAACGGUGUUUGUCUCAUCACAAUACGAGUGAUUUCCAGAAGGUGCUGACGACCACUGCCACUGCUCACUCAGAAAGACAGGGUGACAGCUCAAGACCCCCUCUUUUUUUCUUUUUUCUUAAGCCACUCUUUGACUUACUCUUUGCCUUGGGUGAGGGAAUCCGCUGAUCGACGGCCCUGUCCUCCCUCCUCCCCAGACCAAUCUGCCUCCUACCACUUCUCUGACCUCCAGUUUAGAGCGGCAGUGCCCCCCACUGAAGGAAUUUCAAACAGAAGACAGCAGCUGCACGGAGAUUUUUUUUUUUUUGUUUUUUUUUUUUUUGGACCGAAGAGCCCUGCGGGGAAAGUGCUUGGCCUUGAAAGUCUUUAUCUACAGAUAACAAACUUGGCUGGGUGAGAGGUUUUCUGAGAAACACUCACAUGAGCAGCUCUCCUCAGGGGCCUUGAGCCACAUUUCCUGCUCUCUUCCCUCCUGCAAGGACAACCUUCCUCCCUCACCCGGAAACCUCAAACAGCAUCUAAGUUCAUCCAGCUGCCCCCGAGACUCCUCCACUCAGACGCUAUGGAGACUGCUCAGUGUCAACACAGCCAGAACCCAAUUACCUUCUCUUCAG